GAUGAACGCUGGCGGCGUGCUUAACACAUGCAAGUCGAACGAAGUAUAUUGGAAUGAGUUCUUCGGAACAAAUGAAUUUAUACUUAGUGGCGGACGGGUGAGUAACGCGUGGAUAACCUGCCUUACACUGGGGGACAACAGUUAGAAAUGACUGCCAAUACCGCAUAAGCGCACAGUACCGCAUGGUACGGUGUGAAAAACUCCGGUGGUGUAAGAUGGAUCCGCGUCUGAUUAGCUAGUUGGUGAGGUAAUGGCUCACCAAGGCGACGAUCAGUAGCCGGCCUGAGAGGGUGAACGGCCACAUUGGGACUGAGACACGGCCCAGGCUCCUACGGGAGGCAGCAGUGGGGAAUAUUGCACAAUGGGCGAAAGCCUGAUGCAGCGACGCCGCGUGAGCGAAGAAGUAUUUCGGUAUGUAAAGCUCUAUCAGCAAGGAAGAUAAUGACGGUACUUGACUAAGAAGCCCCGGCUAACUACGUGCCAGCCGCCGCCGUAA
RNAcentral lists this ribosomal RNA (496 nucleotides) under uncultured bacterium. RNAcentral describes it as "partial 16S ribosomal RNA". It matches the Rfam family "Bacterial small subunit ribosomal RNA", at positions 28 to 523 of the family's 1533-position model. The record is from RNAcentral.